AGCCGCUGAUGACUUCUAUUUUAACUUUUUCUGACACCUCGUAUGAAUGCUGUAUUUCAGCAGCUGAUUAUAAACUUUUAGUCUGAGGCUC
Small nucleolar RNA from Danio rerio (zebrafish), 91 nucleotides. Lineage: Eukaryota; Metazoa; Chordata; Actinopteri; Cypriniformes; Danionidae. The record is from Ensembl.